GUAACCCUCAACAGUAAGACUGGUAACCCUCAACAGUAAGACUGGUAACCCUCAACAGUAAGACUGGUAACCCUCAACAGUAAGACUGGUAACCGUAACCCUCAACAGUAAGACUGGUAACCCUCAACAGUAAGACUGGUAACCCUCAACAGUAAGACUGGUAACCCUCAACAGUAAGACUGGUAACCCUCAACAGUAAGACUGGUAACCGUAACCCUCAACAGUAAGACUGGUAACCCUAACCCUCAACAGUAAGACUGGUAACCGUAACCCUCAACAGUAAGACUGGUAACCCUAACCGUAACCCUCAACAGUAAGACUGGUAACCCUCAACAGUAAGAUUGGUAACCCUCAACAGUAAGACUGGUAACCCUCAACAGUAACACUGGUAACCCUAACCCUCAACAGUAACACUGGUAACCCUCAACAGUAACACUGGUAACCCUCAACAGUAACACUGGUAACACUCAACAGUAACACUGGUAACACU
Molecule: long non-coding RNA, 490 nt
Organism: Salvelinus namaycush (lake trout)
Lineage: Eukaryota; Metazoa; Chordata; Actinopteri; Salmoniformes; Salmonidae
Exons: 2
Source: RefSeq, a predicted model, not a curated record